AACGAACGCUGGCGGCAGGCUUAACACAUGCAAGUCGAGCGCCUCGCAAGAGGAGCGGCAGACGGGUGAGUAACGCGUGGGAAUCUACCGUGCCCUAAGGAAUAGCUCCGGGAAACUGGAAUUAAUACCUUAUACGCCCUUCGGGGAAGGAUUUAUCGGGUAUGAUGAGCCCGCGUUGGAUUAGCUAGUUGGUGGGGUAA
Molecule: ribosomal RNA, 200 nt
Filed under: uncultured bacterium
Lineage: Bacteria
Description: partial 16S ribosomal RNA
Rfam family: Bacterial small subunit ribosomal RNA
Source: RNAcentral